Molecule: long non-coding RNA, 1426 nt
Filed under: Homo sapiens (human)
Lineage: Eukaryota; Metazoa; Chordata; Mammalia; Primates; Hominidae
Description: HSALNT0338725
Source: RNAcentral
UUUCAUGCAGUUAUAUAUAGCUUUUGGUUGUCUUUUCCAGUGACAUUUAUACCUUUGGCUUACUUUUUGUCACACUGCCUCUUUCUUGUCAAUUUGCAUGAGCUGUUUCUAUUUUUGUCAUGUUGCAUGUUGUCUCACUGACCUAGUCUUGGGAGUCACUCUUCGUUAUUUCUGCAACGUCCUUCCAGUUACACCAGCGAGGCUUACUUAGUGUGGGAGGGACGCGAGCUCCAAGGAUCAGGGACUGUGAGGCUGUCUGUGAGGCUGGCUACCACGGAAGUUGCAAAUAGGGAUGAUUUUCCUACUUUUGUUCCUUAUCUUCUGACCUUUAACAGGUCAUUUUCUACAGAUCUGUCAGUCUUUUUAUUUGUACUUUUUAAAUUGGUAUUUUGCUAAGGAAGGCCUUCUUUACCUCAAGAUUGUAAAAAUUCUGGGGAAUCUUUGAGAACAAGCAUCCGAGAGUCAUUUUUCUGAUCUUUCUUCAUUUGCACUGGAGUGGCGAUGCCAGGCUCUCAGAGGGUGUCCCAUGCACGAUUUCUCCUCACCCUCGGAACAAACCUAGCAGACACCAUAGCACCUGGCAUGACGGCUGACUCCUUCUCCCAGAACUAACUAUGGGAAAGCCACAGAUGGAAGAGGGAAGUGUGGACGUGAGGAGCAUGAGCGCCUAGAGAAGCCAGGGAGCGGCAGGACCGCCAUGAGUCGCCUUCAGCAGUAAAGCACCUCCCUGUGUCUAUGGAAGUGUCUUCCACGCUCACCUGAUAGAGUUCGGAAGCAGAACACACAGCCCGUGCAGCCGUCCGCAAAGCCGCUUCUGUCUCAGCACCAGCUCAUCAGGGCAGCCCAGCACUCGGGCAGCUCCGCCUUGGGGAGAGUCCACACAAAUGUGCUUCACUUUUAAAUACUCAACAGAGGAAGAGAUCAGGACACUUCUGGAAGAUUGGCUGGGUUGCGGCAGAUGGUUUUGGUAAAUGCCAGACCUUUAACUCAGUGAAACGGCAAAGUCGGGAAGAAGAACCCACUGGCAGUGUUUGGAGUCACCCUCAGCCAUGGACAUGAACUCAGGGACGGAUGGUGCUGGCACCUUCAUGAGCAGAGCUGGUCCCAAACAGCAGGAGAAAUCGUUGGAAGGGUGACUUCCCCAGAGCUCCCGGGAAUACUGGAAUUCAGGCCUCUCACCCCAGCAUUGCGUAAGGUGUGAGGGCUGAGCUUCGGAAAUGCGAGCUUCCAGCCUGGCUCCUGGACCAGGAGGGCCCUGCCAAGCUGCGGGUGGCAACUGCUGCUGAAGUCCUCCCAGUCCCUGCGGCUGCAGCUCCUCCCCUCCUCCUCCCCCUCCUCCUCUUCUCCCUCCUCCUCCUCCCCCUCCUCUUCCCCUCCCCGGCUGCUCCUGCCACCCAAGCACCAGCGCUGGCAAGAGGCUGCGGAC